RNAcentral lists this transfer RNA (24 nucleotides) under Aegilops geniculata. RNAcentral's name for it is "partial tRNA-Thr". Lineage: Eukaryota; Viridiplantae; Streptophyta; Magnoliopsida; Poales; Poaceae. The record is from RNAcentral.
GCCCACUUAGCUCAGAGGUUAGAG